This 429-nucleotide ribosomal RNA is filed under the name Chloroflexota bacterium. RNAcentral's name for it is "Chloroflexi bacterium partial 16S ribosomal RNA". It matches the Rfam family "Bacterial small subunit ribosomal RNA", at positions 355 to 776 of the family's 1533-position model. Lineage: Bacteria; Bacillati; Chloroflexota. The record is from RNAcentral.
UGGGGAAUAUUGCACAAUGGGCGCAAGCCUGAUGCAGCCAUGCCGCGUGUAUGAAGAAGGCCUUCGGGUUGUAAAGUACUUUCAGUCGGGAGGAAGGUGGUAAGGUUAAUAACCUUAUCAAUUGACGUUACCGACAGAAGAAGCACCGGCUAACUCCGUGCCAGCAGCCGCGGUAAUACGGAGGGUGCAAGCGUUAAUCGGAAUUACUGGGCGUAAAGCGCACGCAGGCGGUUGAUUGAGUCAGAUGUGAAAUCCCCGGGCUUAACCCGGGAAUUGCAUCUGAUACUGGUCAGCUAGAGUCUUGUAGAGGGGGGUAGAAUUCCAUGUGUGGCGGUGAAAUGCGUAGAGAUGUGGAGGAAUACCGGUGGCGAACGCGGCCCCCUGGACAAAGACUGACGCUCAGGUGCGAAAGCGUGGGGAGCAAACAGG